AACGUGUGUCACAGUGGACUCACAGACUCUGGUUCCGACGUGAUCGCAGGAAACAGUUUAUUUUUUCCGGACAGUGGCUUGAGGGUACCAUCGUUGAAGACCCCAACGCAGCUGCAGAUUCUCGUGUCCUGGGAGGUACUGGCUUGCAUGGUGACUGUCAGUACCACCCAUCUGCUCUGCCCUCGAGGACUCCGCCAUGCUGCUGGAAGGAAACCAUCACUGUCAUCACUCCCAAUCUCAGAGAAGAGAGACAAGGGGUUCAGAUGGCUUGCAGCACUGGCGGGUGUCAUUCCGGACUCCUGAUGCCGCCAGUCCCUCAGUGAGACGUGAGCGCCAUUGGCGUCCGUGGCCUCUGUUUCCGUGGCAACCCAGUAACCAUUAAUUUUCAAUUAAAGGAGACAAAAAGCUGGAUGACAGCUCUGGGUCUGCUGAAGAUGUCAAGAAUCUGUAUUAAUAUACAGCAAGAGAGCAUAAUUGUGUGUCCAUCUUCCAGAGCGGUGAAAAAUGGGGGGAUAAUUACCGGCUCGAAAGCCACUCUGUAAUUUAGUUCUUACUGUCAC
Long non-coding RNA from Rattus rattus (black rat), 560 nucleotides. RefSeq lists it as uncharacterized. The record is from RefSeq and is a predicted model, not a curated record. Lineage: Eukaryota; Metazoa; Chordata; Mammalia; Rodentia; Muridae. The transcript is spliced from 3 exons.